UCAACUUGGCUUACACUCUGGAUGGAAACCUUAGGGUCUUAAAAUACUCCUUUCCCACUAGGAAGGACAAAUAUUUCAGGAAAUUCAAACAUACACAUAAAGUCUUUGAAACUCCUUGAAAAGGACUGGUCAUUUUGGGUGACAUCAAAUCAAGUCCAGCUACACAGGCUGUGUUUACAGGCUUCCCAUUAAUGAACACUGAGACUUGACUUCCUUCACCAUAAACCUGUUUGUUCCUGAUUGUCUGUUGAGUCAUGGACCUUUCCAGUCAGUUUCUAAAUGCAAG
Molecule: long non-coding RNA, 286 nt
Filed under: Bos taurus (domestic cattle)
Lineage: Eukaryota; Metazoa; Chordata; Mammalia; Artiodactyla; Bovidae
Description: long non-coding RNA NONBTAT000786
Source: RNAcentral